AUCCCAAACAGUUGUACUAGCUCAUAACUAAUAAGGUCAUAACAGUCAAAUGUCGUUAUGCAGUUGACCAAACUAUAAAGUUUUGAGCUCUGUUGAGAUUUGUGUCACUUUAAUUGAAUAGGGCUCAGUAUUUUAGAGUUAAUUUGUGUGGAACGCUCAAAAAGUUUAGGAACCAUGUAUUAGCGUCAUGACGUUAUCGACGUCAUGACGUAUUGGUGGGUGGGUCUUAUCGCUCCCUCAGGAAAGCUGAGUCAGCCAUCUUGAAUUUGCCUUGAUGCGGGUGAAGUUUUGGCAAGCUCAUGUGGAUGUGGAACACAGUUUAAUUUGUUUUUAAUUGUUUAUAUCUGUUUGGAAUGCGUACUUUUAUACCCCCGCUUCAAACCACCACCACCUCAGUUAUUUUCAUUAGUCUUAUUGCUCUCAUUUUCUUAAGCGCUGUCUUAUCAUCAGCCCUGAUUUGUUCAUCUUACAGCAGUGUAACGUUAUCAGCGGGUUUCCUGGAUGAACUACAUUACCCAUAAUGCAUGUUUGCCCGGGACAUUGACGGUUGAGGAAGGUCCAUGAGUUUUGAAUUCUCUGGCGGAGUCCGAAAGCAUAACGUUAUCCCUGAUUCCCGCCGUUUUCGCUGUUCGUCGUUAAUGCAUGUGCGUACUUUGAGUAUAACGUUACAUAUUUAAAUAAAUGUCUGCGUUAUGCAGUAAAUAUUUUACGUUGGGUUAGGUCGAGCUGUGUGUGAUCGCGUGUAACUAAACAACAUAAUAUAUCGGACUACAAAGAGUGCUACAGAGAGUCAGUGUUUCACUAUCAGACAGGUGCCAAUAGAAAGCUCGAAAAGCUGAGGUCAACUACAUCAUCAACCUAUCAAAGGAUCAAACCCCAGCCACUCUGGAAACAAUGAGAGAAGAAAUC
Carassius auratus (goldfish) is the source of this 909-nucleotide long non-coding RNA. RefSeq lists it as uncharacterized. The record is from RefSeq and is a predicted model, not a curated record. NCBI's taxonomy places the organism in Eukaryota, Metazoa, Chordata, Actinopteri, Cypriniformes, Cyprinidae. The transcript has 4 exons.